This is a long non-coding RNA of Branchiostoma floridae (Florida lancelet), 374 nucleotides long. RefSeq lists it as uncharacterized. The transcript is spliced from 3 exons. The record is from RefSeq and is a predicted model, not a curated record. Lineage: Eukaryota; Metazoa; Chordata; Leptocardii; Amphioxiformes; Branchiostomatidae.
AGCCUCUAAAAAGUGGACGAAACGCGUCAGACGAUGCUGGAAAUGUUGGCAAAUCUCGAGUCCUGUGGUCGUCGUGUUCAUCGCUGUUCUCUCGUCCUAUUUUGCAGUCAGAUUCACCGUUGUUGAAGAGCUGGGAAAGCUGCAGGCCCGUAUGCCGGAGCUGGAAGGAGACAAAGCUCUGCCUGUUGGGCUCCCUGGGCCAUCCGGACCUCCGGGAGAAAAGGGAGCCAUGGGGCCAGCUGGCCCUCUAGGAGAAAAGGGAGCCAUGGGGCCAGCUGGCCUUCCCGGAGAAAAGGGAGCCAUGGGGCCAGCUGGACAUCCCGGAGAAAAGGGCGCCAUUGGGCCAGCUGGACAUCCCGGAGAAAAGGGCACCA